UGCCAGCCGCCGCGGUAAUACGGAGGGGGUUAGCGUUGUUCGGAAUUACUGGGCGUAAAGCGCGCGUAGGCGGACUAUUAAGUCAGGGGUGAAAUCCCGGGGCUCAACCCCGGAAGUGCAUUGGAUACUGGCAGUCUUGAGUAUGGGAGAGGAAAGUGGAAUUCCGAGUGUAGGAGUGAAAUCCGUAGAUAUUCGGAGGAACACCAGUGGCGAAGGCGGCUUUCUGGACCGAUACUGACGCUGAGACGCGAAAGCGUGGGGAGCAAACAGGAUUAGAUA
Molecule: ribosomal RNA, 279 nt
Filed under: uncultured bacterium
Lineage: Bacteria
Description: partial 16S ribosomal RNA
Rfam family: Bacterial small subunit ribosomal RNA
Source: RNAcentral